Molecule: ribosomal RNA, 819 nt
Filed under: Phaeocystis globosa
Lineage: Eukaryota; Haptophyta; Phaeocystales; Phaeocystaceae
Description: eukaryotic LSU rRNA
Rfam family: Eukaryotic large subunit ribosomal RNA
Source: RNAcentral
AUGUGCUCUCGUAGAGUCGGGCUGCUUGGGAGUGCAGCCUGAAGCGGGUGGUAAAUUCCAUCUAAAGCUAAAUACUGGCGGGAGACCGAUAGCGAACAAGUACCGUGAGGGAAAGAUGCAAAGAACUUUGAAAAGAGAGUUAAAGAGUGCUUGAAAUUGGCAGGAGGAAACCCGGUUGCGCGUGGCAUUUGGCGUGGUCGACUCAGCCGCGCGCGGAGAUCUGUAGGGGACCUAACGGCCUCGUGGUCAGCGCGCGCGGUGCACUUCGGCCGCGUCGGUCAGCCGCGUUUCUGCGCGGCCCAUACGGCCGCGGGCAGGGCUUCGGCGCCGCCUGCGGUUUGGGGGUCGCGCGGGAUCCCGGCUGAUGCGCACGGGCGCAACCGACCCGUCUAGAAACACGGACCAAGGAGUCUGACGCGUGUGCGAGUACUAGAGUGGCAAGCUCGAGUGCGCAAUGAAAGUGAAGGGCGUGCCCCGUCAACCGAUCUUGAUCUUCUGUGAAGGGUUUGAGUGGAGCACAUCUGUCGGGACCCGAAAGAUGGUGAACUAUGCCUGAGGAGGGUGAAGCCAGAGGAAACUCUGGUGGAGGCUCGUAGCGAUACUGACGUGCAAAUCGUUCGUCGAACUUGGGUAUAGGGGCGAAAGACUAAUCGAACCAUCUAGUAGCUGGUUCCCUCCGAAGUUUCCCUCAGGAUAGCUUGAACGCCGACGGUUUUGUCAGGUAAAGCGAAUGAUUAGAGGCCUUGGGGCUGAAACAGCCUUAACCUAUUCUCAAACUUUAAAUGGGCAAGAGGCGCCGGAUGCUUGACUGAUCCGGCG